Molecule: long non-coding RNA, 310 nt
Organism: Ruditapes philippinarum (Manila clam)
Lineage: Eukaryota; Metazoa; Mollusca; Bivalvia; Venerida; Veneridae
Exons: 3
Source: RefSeq, a predicted model, not a curated record
UUGCAAGAAGAAAUAGGUAAUUUUGGUGAAGAUAAAUAUAUAUGUAAGGAAGAUGUAUGGAAAGAGAUAUGUACAGUGUUAAGGGAUUCAUAAGAUGUUUGGUUAAUGUAUGAAUUAUGAACAUUUUAACCUUACGAUGGUGAGAUUAUUCUUCACGCAAGAUCAACUCAUAUAUGUGAUUCUCUAUCAUCUGAUAGUGUGUACACAUUUAGUAUGGAGCCAGUGCACACCUAAUAAUUAUGCGAACGUGUCGACAACAACAACUUAUCGGGAGUUAACCAGUCCUGGAUAUCCAUCAAAUUAUCCAGCG